RNAcentral lists this ribosomal RNA (274 nucleotides) under uncultured bacterium. RNAcentral describes it as "partial 16S ribosomal RNA". It matches the Rfam family "Bacterial small subunit ribosomal RNA", at positions 523 to 796 of the family's 1533-position model. The record is from RNAcentral.
AUACGGAGGGUGCAAGCGUUGUCCGGAUUUAUUGGGUUUAAAGGGUGCGUAGGUGGUUUUUUAGGUCAGUGGUGAAAACCUACAGCUUAACUGUAGAGGUGCCAUUGAUACUGGGGAACUUGAGUAUGGACGAGGUAGGCGGAAUUUGUGGUGUAGCGGUGAAAUGCAUAGAUACCACAAGGAACACCGAUAGCGAAGGCAGCUUACUGGGCCAUAACUGACACUGAGGCACGAAAGCGUGGGGAGCGAACAGGAUUAGAAACCCUAGUAGUCC